UAUUAUUUAGCAUUUAAAAAAAAGAUCUUAAAAUUUAAAAAAUAGAAUAAAAUUGAGUUUUUUUUUGUUCACAAAAAUAAACAAGAUCCUAGAUUUUGGCAACAGCAACAAAAAAAACUGGUUUUUGCUGGGUUUUAUGGAAUUUGGGAUUUGAACAAAAUAUAUCGGCGACGUGGAAGAAAAUGUUGACGGCAAUGAAGAAAUAUAGUUACUUAUAUAUAUUUUUGUGAAAUAAAAAUUAAGUAAUGUUAGUUAAAAUGUUUCUUUACUUAUUUAA
This is a long non-coding RNA of Hydra vulgaris (swiftwater hydra), 277 nucleotides long. RefSeq lists it as uncharacterized. NCBI's taxonomy places the organism in Eukaryota, Metazoa, Cnidaria, Hydrozoa, Anthoathecata, Hydridae. The record is from RefSeq and is a predicted model, not a curated record.